Platichthys flesus (European flounder) is the source of this 2527-nucleotide RNA transcript. It is a transcript of the gene named RNA-binding protein 4B-like, with no coding region annotated. The transcript has 6 exons. NCBI's taxonomy places the organism in Eukaryota, Metazoa, Chordata, Actinopteri, Pleuronectiformes, Pleuronectidae. The record is from RefSeq and is a predicted model, not a curated record.
AUUUCGUCAGCCGGUAUUUCCUGUUUGUCAUACCGGGGUUUCGGCUUGGCGGUGGCUUCCUCCACGACCAGUCCACUGGAGCAGUCAUGGUGAAGAUUUUCAUCGGGAACCUGUCCCAGCACGCCGGGAAGGACGAGGUGGAGGCUCUGUUCGCCCAGUACGGCACAGUGACAGAGUGUGCCAAGUACAAGAACUAUGCUUUCGUCCACAUGGAGGACCGCAAGUGUGCCACCAAGGCCAUCCGUGAGCUGCACCUCCACAAGCUGAACGGCAGGCCCAUCAAUGUGGAGCUCAGCCGGGGGAAGAACCAGGGGCCGGUGAAGCUCCACGUCGCCAAUGUGGAGAAGGGAUUCGACGAGGAGCUCCGCACCCUCUUCGAGGAGUACGGCACCGUCACAGAGUCCGCCAUCAUCAAGGACUUCGCCUUUGUGCACAUGUCCGAUUCGGAUGAGGCCAUGGAUGCCAUCAAAGGUCUGGAUAACAUAGAAUUUCAAGGAAAGCGCAUUCAUGUUCAGAUAUCAAGAAGCAGACCCAGAGGGCCACCAGAGGAGGAGGCCUAUCCACCGCCGCCCGGCCGAGGAGACUACUAUCCUCCACGCUACCCACCCAUGGGGCCCGAGCCUCCCUACAGGGGACGCAUGUCUGCUUACCCUCCUCCGCCGCCGCCCCCUCCCCCGAGACGAGUGCCGUACCCCGACCGGGGCUACGGUGAGCGAGACGAUUACGGGGUGGUCGACUACUACGAGAAAUUCAGAGCCCGUCCCAUGGGCAACGAUGACAGGCGUGCCAUCCCCCCUCCUCCGCCUCCCCCCUCGGCGCUGGUCAGAGAGCGUCUUGGGAUGGGGUCGUUCGAUCCAUAUGAGCGGCGCCCGCCCCCAUAUGCUCCUCCCUCCUACAUGGCCAGAGACCGAAGCCCCAUCAGAAGAGCCCCCCCACCCCCGGCUCCAUCCACAGGUAACGGGUUCUCCUAUGAGCGGGCCCGGCUCUCUCCGAUGUCCAGGGCGCCGAUGUAUGCAGCUCCCCGUCCCAGGGACUCCUACAUGGAGAGGCCGCCUCCCCCGCCACCACCACCACAACAACCUCGCUAUCCGGGCUAUUAGGCACCGGAGAGUACAACACAAGGUUGUUAGACUCUAGGCAGGAGAUCCCAGCUCAGGGUAAGUCAUCCUUGGAAGAUGACCUGCACCCUGACGAAGAGGGAGAUAUUGCUCAAACGGUACUAUUUAACAUUUAUUACUCAAUGUAUUAUUCAUUGAAUAAUUUGAAAUUGCAUAUUUUAAAUCUGGAAAUUGUGAUUGAUUUAUUAAUGAUCCCCCCCCCUCCCCCAAAGGACUGAUUAAAAAAAAUUAUAAUUUGCCCUUGCCAAAAUAUUACAACACAUAGUCCAUAGUCAUUUAAAAAUGAAACAUUUGAUAAUUUUGAAUGCGCUAAAAAUAAAGAGAGGCUUGAGCUUUUAAACAAAGUAAGUGUUUUGAAUUAUAGAAGAUGUAGCUGGUACUUAUUUUUAAUUGGUUCCUAAAUAGAAGUCUUAUUUGGUCUGUGUUCAGUGCGAUUGUGACGAUUUGUCUGUGUUCACAGGGAUUUUCUCUGCUAGGUGGGGCGACUAUAAUGUGUCUUUAUGGGUUUGGCAGAGUACACGGGAUGAGACGAUCUUGUGGUCAAAGGAAGCCGAUGUGGUGCGGUGUGGUCCAGCUCUUGGUGACCUGGAGUGAAGAAGAGGAAGAAGAGAACCUGCGUGGCUGCAUCAGCUGAUCAUAACUCCAGAAUAAAGGGCUUGGUGACCACAUGGGAAACGUCAACAUUUAAUAUAAAAUGUCUGCAUCGAAAGCUGAGGCCACACAGCAGGCCGAGACGCUUCAUGGGACAGCGGUGCAGACGACGGGGAUGGAGUCAUCUACAGUGGACAGUCCGGGGGAAGCUGCCUCACUUAGACAUUUCUUGGCUGUGCGCCACAACUGUAACCUGCCACGGGUGAAUGAGCUGGACUUGUACUGUCGGGGGUCCAGGGCAAGCCUCGUCCUGGUCGCACCGUAAAAUCUCCACCCACUCGGUCAGCGUCCGAGAACGGAGAGAGAAAACGGCGCUGCUCAGAACGAGGGGCUCUCAAGACGGAGCAGCUUGAGUCCGUCCCCCCCACCUCCCCACAGUGCACCACCUGCACUGCGUUCCUCUCCACUCACUCCUUGACUUAAGAUUCAGGCAAAAGAAUGUAAUACCUCUUGAAAAAGUAUCACAUAUGUACUUUGAUAAGCACUGAACUCUGACUCAUCUCCUUGACAUUCUUCCCAGAGGGGUGGGACUGUGACUGGAAGGAGGACAACGACCUGUUACUCUCUUUUAGAGCGUUAAUCUCAUUUAAAGAUUGAUGGAGGGCGGCUACUGAAAAUGGAAAGCUACAUGAGGAAAAGGUAACACAGUCGAAUCGACUUGAGCAGGACUCCAGAACAGAGGGCAACAUGUAACCACAGCCAACAACUCCUAUUCAUACGCCAAUAAACCAAAAUUAAAUAAAAAGUGUGGGGCUCCA